GAGCGGCCAUAGCAAUAUGGCAGCGGCAGACGGGAGAGUAACACGUGGGAACGUACCCUUUGGUUCGGAAUAACUCAGGGAAACUUGAGCUAAUACCGGAUAAGUCCGUAAGGAGAAAGAUUUAUCGCCAAAGGAUCGGCCCGCGUCCGAUUAGCUAGUUGGUGGGGUAAUGGCCCACCAGGGCGACGAUCGGUAGCUGGUCUGAGAGGAUGAUCAGCCACACUGGGAUUGAGAACGGCCCAGACUCCUACGGGGGGCAGCAGUGAGGAAUUUUCGUCAAUGGUCGAAAGACUGAACGAGCAACGCCGCGUGCCGGAAGAAGGUCCUCGGAUCGUAAACGGCUUUUCUGGGGGAAGAGAACGGACGGUACCUCAGGAAGAAGCCCCGGCUAACUACGUG
This 399-nucleotide ribosomal RNA is filed under the name uncultured bacterium. Its description in RNAcentral is "bacterial SSU rRNA". It matches the Rfam family "Bacterial small subunit ribosomal RNA", at positions 64 to 507 of the family's 1533-position model. The record is from RNAcentral.